This is a long non-coding RNA of Rhipicephalus sanguineus (brown dog tick), 1101 nucleotides long. RefSeq lists it as uncharacterized. The transcript is spliced from 6 exons. Lineage: Eukaryota; Metazoa; Arthropoda; Arachnida; Ixodida; Ixodidae. The record is from RefSeq and is a predicted model, not a curated record.
CGAGAAGGCCGACAUCAUGAAAGCGAUCCGACCGUUUCAUACCUGCAGUUUAGACGCUUCUAGAACCUCCGAGCGCGACUAUCAUGCGCCGCAUGGGCCAUCCUUCGAUUUUGUUGUUGUACGUCUUUUCUUCGAUUUCUUUCCGCCGCACUACGCGCCGCGCGCAGAUCUCGCCGAUAACACGGCGACGAACGAUGCCGUGACGUAAUGGCGUGCUCUAGAUCUGACUGCAAUAACGCAUGCGCGAAUAUCGGAGCGUCGUCGUGAAAAAAAGAGUUACACGCGGGCCCCCGACCUCCAUUUUCCUCUUGCCAGUUGCGCAUGUUGCGAAAGGCAGUUCUUCGGCGUCAUGGUAUGGCUUACCACGAUGUUCAGGCACGGGGCGUGUAGUUGCAGUACGUACGAGUCGCGGUUUAAUUUUUUUGCUUGUGUUUGUGUGUGGACUUUACCUGGACUUAUGGAGCUGUGUACCAGGAACUGCGCGGCCUGGAAUUCAUCGAGGACGACUGCGAGCUUCGUCGUCGGUCGGCAUCAAAAUGCUUCAAGUUGGCUGCUAGGCCAGAGUGCACAUGGACCAGCCGUGGCUUCGCGCUCCAGCGUUAUUCGAGCGCUGACGUACUAACACGCCCCGUGCCACUCCGGCGUAUCUUCCGCACUAUCGCCGACGGGAGUCUUGAUGGCUGCUGGACGUGCUCCCGGCAUUGGAUCGAGAGCGCCGACUGUCUUCACACAUCCCCUGUGCCACAACGGCAGAUCUUCCUGGCGGGUAUCUUCCCGGCACUGCCUCAACUCUACAAACUCCUCAUGCCACCGGGUCUAGCAACUGCAGGCAAGGACAUCGUCAAGGAGUUUCAGCGCCAGCAACACAUCGGGAAUCGCCACAAGGAUCGUCGUUACUGCUAGCUUCAACAUCGGCAUCAAACAAAAUGGCAGGUGAGCCUGCUAACCAGGUUGGCGAGGGUCACGGUCUUCUCCCACGACGGAAGUGCACGUAAUAGCUUCAGGUUUAGCGAACACUAGGCAGGCAGGCAGGUAGCUGUUAGGGGUUUCCGUCGUGGGGUUAAGACCCAUUCGGAAUGUGGUUUUCACGGAUGCAAUGCG